AGCGAACGCUGGCGGCAGGCCUAACACAUGCAAGUCGAACGGACCCUUCGGGGUUAGUGGCGGACGGGUGAGUAACACGUGGGAACGUGCCUUUAGGUUCGGAAUAGCUCCUGGAAACGGGUGGUAAUGCCGAAUGUGCCCUUCGGGGGAAAGAUUUAUCGCCUUUAGAGCGGCCCGCGUCUGAUUAGCUAGUUGGUGGGGGUAAAUGGCCCCACCAAGGCUACGAUCAGUAGCUGGUCUGAGAGGAUGACCAGCCACAUUGGGACUGAGACACGGCCCAAACUCCUACGGAGGCAGCAGUGGGGAAUCUUGCGCAAUGGGCGAAAGCCUGACGCAGCCAUGCCGCGUGUAUGAUGAAGGUCUUAGGAUUGUAAAAUACUUUCACCGGUGAAGAUAAUGACUAUAGCCGA
RNAcentral lists this ribosomal RNA (410 nucleotides) under uncultured bacterium. Its description in RNAcentral is "bacterial SSU rRNA". It matches the Rfam family "Bacterial small subunit ribosomal RNA", at positions 29 to 482 of the family's 1533-position model. The record is from RNAcentral.